AUUUGUCUGGUUAAUUCCGAUAACGAACGAGACCUUAACCUGCUAACUAGAUUCAUCAGUACUACUUUUGAUAUCUUCUUAGAGGGACUAUGUAAUACAAAUACAUGGAAGUUUGAGGCAAUAACAGGUCAGUGAUGCCCUUAUAUGUCCUGGGCUGCACGCGUGCUACACUGAUGCAUACAACAAGUGCCUAACCAGACAUGGUAUGGCAAUCUCGAAUAUGCAUCGUGAUGGGGAUAGAUCUUUGCAAUUAUAGAUCUUGAACGAGGAAUUCCAAGUAAGUGCAAGUCAUCAUCUUGCAUUGAUUAUGUCCCUGCCCUUCGUACACACCGCCCGUCGCUCCUACCGAUACCGGGUGAUCCGGUGAACCUUUUGGACUCUUUACUGGGAAAGAUAAGUAAACCAUAUCACCUAGAGGAAGGAGAAGUCGUAACAAGGUUUCCGUAGGUGAACCUGCRGAAGGAUCA
Molecule: ribosomal RNA, 467 nt
Filed under: uncultured ciliate
Lineage: Eukaryota; Ciliophora
Description: SSU rRNA
Rfam family: Eukaryotic small subunit ribosomal RNA
Source: RNAcentral